AUGGAGCUACGUACCACGUACACAAGCACCGAUAUCGAUCCACGCGAGGCGAGACGCAAAGCAGCAGUCUUGUCCAUCUUCGUCGUUGGGAGCAGUCUUGUCUUGUCCAUCUCCAUGGGAGCAGUCCUGUCCAUCUCCGUCGUUGACGCGCUAACCAGGGCGACGACCAGCUGGAACUACGCGCGGGCGCGGCGGAGAUCAAUUGCUCCCCAUGGCGCUGCCGAUUGGCCUGGCCUGCCAGAGGACCUCUUGCUGACCGUCAUGGCGGCGCUGGACGUCCCCAGCAUCAUCCGGUCCGGCGCCGUGUGCACGUCCUGGCACUCCGCCUACAAGGCCUUCCGAGGCCUCCACCGCCUCCCGCCGAAGCAGGCCCCUUGCCUGCUCUACGCCUGCGACGAGUACGGGCCCGACGCCGCCGCCCUGUACUGCCCCUCCACCAACGCAACGUUCCGCAUCCCCUUCCCACAGCCCCCAGACAAGAGCCGGAGAUUCGCCUUCUCCUGUCAGGGUUGGGUGUUCGCCGCCGACGAGGCCGGUGACCCGUACCUCGUCAACCCUACCACGGGCUCCCGGGCCGCGCUCCCGCCGUUCGAGACGAUCUACCACGGGGAGAGCCACUAUGAUCGCGACCGCAAGAACGCUCUGAAAGCUCGACUGGAGAACCGAGUCUUCCGGCCGACAGUUAGCUGGGCAUGGCACUCGGGGUAUCACCGGGUCGCCAUUUCCGCCGCCGCCGAGGUGGCCGCAUGCACCGUCUUAAUCGUGCACACGCCAGACCAGUGGAGGCUCUCGUUCGCUAGGCCGGGUGACAAGCGCUGGACAUUCUUGUGUGAAGAAGAGUUUCAGGACGUUCUCUACAAUGACAAGGACGGCUUGUUCUACGCCCUAGGCCUUGAUAGUUCUGUUUCUACUAUAGAUCUCGCCGGGCCUUCGCCGACGGUGACCAUGAUCAUGCGUGGCGUGUCAGGUUGGUGCGACCCUACCAAGUAUCUCGCAUUCACGCCAUCUGGUGAGCUCCAGCAAGUAUGGAGAAUCUGGAGCCACCCACAUUUUUCAGUAAAAUUCAUGGUCGACGCAGAUGCCGUAGAUUUUGCCAACGAAUAUGGGGACGCCCACAAUCUCAAUGAGCCAGAUGCAAAUGAUGAUGAUGAGCAAAAGACCAGUGAGGUCACAACAAUCAAGCUCCUGAUUUUCAAGGUGGACAUUGGCAGACAGAAACUGGUGGAGCUACGGGACAUUGGAGACCACGCGCUAUUCCUUGGGUACAACACUGCUAUGUAUUUUUCGACCAAGGACUUUCCGGUGUUCAAACCAAACUGUGCUUACCUUACACACGACUGUUUUGACUUCAAGCCAACAUUACCAACAGACACGGGUAUUUGGGACGUCAACAAGGGGAGUAUGCAGAAACUUCAGGAUGCAUGGCCAUACAUGUAUUCUUGGCUAGAUUUACCCGCCCCGAUUUGGAUCACACCAAGGUUUUAG
This 1485-nucleotide ribosomal RNA is filed under the name Triticum aestivum (bread wheat). Its description in RNAcentral is "partial small subunit ribosomal RNA". The record is from RNAcentral. Lineage: Eukaryota; Viridiplantae; Streptophyta; Magnoliopsida; Poales; Poaceae.